AAGUUAUAUUGGAUUUAUGAGGGUUUUGAAAACCCUUAAUAAGUGUUCGAUUCACUUGUAACUUU
RNAcentral lists this transfer RNA (65 nucleotides) under Scaeurgus unicirrhus. Its description in RNAcentral is "tRNA-Ser". Lineage: Eukaryota; Metazoa; Mollusca; Cephalopoda; Octopoda; Octopodidae. The record is from RNAcentral.